GAUGAAGAACGUAGCGAAAUGCGAUAAGUAAUGUGAAUUGCAGAAUUCAGUGAAUCAUCGAAUCUUUGAACGCACAUUGCGCCCGCCAGUAUUCUGGCGGGCAUGCCUGUCCGAGCGUCAUUUCAACCCUCAAGCCCCCGGGCUUGGUGUUGGAGAUCGGCGAGCCCCCCGGGGCGCGCCGUCUCCCAAAUAUAGUGGCGGUCCCGCUGUAGCUUCCUCUGCGUAGUAGCACACCUCGCACUGGGAAACAGCGUGGCCACGCCGUAAAACCCCCCACUUCUGAAAGGUUGACCUCGGAUCAGGUAGGAAUACCCGCUGAACUUAAGCAUAUCAAUAAGCGGAGG
Molecule: unclassified non-coding RNA, 344 nt
Filed under: soil metagenome
Description: partial contains 5.8S ribosomal RNA, internal transcribed spacer 2, and large subunit ribosomal RNA
Rfam family: 5.8S ribosomal RNA (bases 1-120)
Source: RNAcentral